This 253-nucleotide ribosomal RNA is filed under the name uncultured bacterium. RNAcentral's name for it is "partial 16S ribosomal RNA". It matches the Rfam family "Bacterial small subunit ribosomal RNA", at positions 524 to 776 of the family's 1533-position model. The record is from RNAcentral.
UACGUAGGUGGCGAGCGUUGUCCGGAUUUACUGGGCGUAAAGAGCGCGCAGGCGGUCGUUCAAGUCGCGUGUGAAAGCCCCCGGCUCAACUGGGGAGGGUCACGCGAUACUGAUCGACUCGAAGGCAGGAGAGGGAAGUGGAAUUCCGGGUGUAGUGGUGAAAUGCGUAGAUAUCCGGAGGAACACCAGUGGCGAAGGCGACUUUCUGGCCUGUUCUUGACGCUGAGGCGCGAAAGCUAGGGGAGCAAACGGG